CAACCCACAUGAGUGGUUUGUGGCAGUGUUGACUGCUCUCGCUGUGUCACCCUCUGCGCUCCGACUCCCACACACCACGGGGAAGCUCGAAGACGAUGGAGAAUAUCCACAAAUAUUCUGCAGAAGGUGCACAAGGCCAAACCUCAAAGGGAUUUUUGUCACACACAUUUCAGUGCUGCAAGUCCUGGAUUAUCUCUGAAGCCUUUAUGUACACACCAAAGAUAUCAUGACCAGAAUCCUCUGACAGUGAAUGCGUGAUUUCCACUCAUUAAUGAUCAAGACUUUAAUAACCGUAUGACAGGACUACACUCUGCAGUAAUUCGUCAGUAAGGCCACAUCCGAAUCUGACGGCCUUUUGCCAGAUACUUCCCCCUUCAUGGGACUUCUCUUUUGGAUAAACUGCCUAAUUGCGACACAUAUAGUGCAUCCAUCAUCAGUAUUGAUAUUAUAUUUGGUUUAGUAUUCAUUCAGUCUCUAGGAAAUAGAGCAAAUCAUUUUCAUUGCAUAUCAAACUGGAGACCUAGACUAUCUCUGUAUCGUAAUUAAUUUAUAGCUAGUGCCUAAAUAAUUGUUUUAGAGUAUUUCCAAUGGUAAAUGUUUUGUCAAAUCCCCAUUUUGGUAUGUCUGUAAAAAAGGUUUCCUUUUUGUGAUAAUAAAUGUUUCUUCUACAUUUAAC
This is an RNA transcript of Clupea harengus (Atlantic herring), 676 nucleotides long. It is a transcript of the gene named transmembrane protein 238a, with no coding region annotated. The record is from RefSeq and is a predicted model, not a curated record. NCBI's taxonomy places the organism in Eukaryota, Metazoa, Chordata, Actinopteri, Clupeiformes, Clupeidae.